Molecule: ribosomal RNA, 1693 nt
Filed under: Aeromonas sp. DNRA1
Lineage: Bacteria; Pseudomonadati; Pseudomonadota; Gammaproteobacteria; Aeromonadales; Aeromonadaceae
Description: partial 23S ribosomal RNA
Rfam family: Bacterial large subunit ribosomal RNA
Source: RNAcentral
AUGCUGGAGAUAUCAGAAGUGCGAAUGCUGACGUAAGUAACGAUAAAGGGGGUGAAAAGCCUCCUCGCCGGAAGACCAAGGGUUCCUGUCCAACGUUAAUCGGGGCAGGGUGAGUCGACCCCUAAGGCGAGGCCGAAAGGCGUAGUCGAUGGGAAGCAGGUUAAUAUUCCUGCACGACUUGUAAUUGCGAUGGGGGGACGGAGAAGGCUAGGUGGGCCAGGCGACGGUUGUCCUGGUGAAAGUGCGUAGGUGGUGUUUCUAGGCAAAUCCGGAGACACAACACUGAGACACGAGACGAACACACUACGGUGUGGAAGCCAUUGAUGCCCUGCUUCCAGGAAAAGCCUCUAAGCUUCAGAUUACAAGUCAUCGUACCCCAAACCGACACAGGUGGUCGGGUAGAGAAUACCAAGGCGCUUGAGAGAACUCGGGUGAAGGAACUAGGCAAAAUAGAACCGUAACUUCGGGAGAAGGUUCGCUCUUGACAGUGAAGUCCCUUGCGGAUGGAGCAGUUGGGAGUCGCAGUGACCAGAUGGCUGGGACUGUUUAUCAAAAACACAGCACUCUGCAAACACGAAAGUGGACGUAUAGGGUGUGACACCUGCCCGGUGCCGGAAGGUUAAUUGAUGGGGUUAGCGCAAGCGAAGCUCUUGAUCGAAGCCCCGGUAAACGGCGGCCGUAACUAUAACGGUCCUAAGGUAGCGAAAUUCCUUGUCGGGUAAGUUCCGACCUGCACGAAUGGUGUAACCAUGGCCAUGCUGUCUCCACCCGAGACUCAGUGAAAUCGAAUUCGCCGUGAAGAUGCGGUGUACCCGCGGCUAGACGGAAAGACCCCGUGAACCUUUACUACAGCUUGGCACUGAACAUUGAACCUACAUGUGUAGGAUAGGUGGGAGGCUUUGAAGGCGUGACGCCAGUUGCGCUGGAGCCGUCCUUGAAAUACCACCCUUGUAUGUUUGAUGUUCUAACGCAGGCCCGUGAAUCCGGGUCGCGGACAGUGCCUGGUGGGUAGUUUGACUGGGGCGGUCUCCUCCCAAAGAGUAACGGAGGAGCACGAAGGUUGGCUAAUCCUGGUCGGACAUCAGGAGGUUAGUGCAAUGGCAUAAGCCAGCUUAACUGCGAGACGGACAGGUCGAGCAGGUACGAAAGUAGGUCAUAGUGAUCCGGUGGUUCUGAAUGGAAGGGCCAUCGCUCAACGGAUAAAAGGUACUCCGGGGAUAACAGGCUGAUACCGCCCAAGAGUUCAUAUCGACGGCGGUGUUUGGCACCUCGAUGUCGGCUCAUCACAUCCUGGGGCUGAAGUCGGUCCCAAGGGUAUGGCUGUUCGCCAUUUAAAGUGGUACGCGAGCUGGGUUCAGAACGUCGUGAGACAGUUCGGUCCCUAUCUGCCGUGGGCGUUGGAUGAUUGAAGGGAGUUGCUCCUAGUACGAGAGGACCGGAGUGAACGAACCUCUGGUGUUCGGGUUGUCACGCCAGUGGCACUGCCCGGUAGCUAAGUUCGGAAUCGAUAACCGCUGAAAGCAUCUAAGCGGGAAGCGAGCCCUGAGAUGAGUCAUCCCUGACCCCUUGAGGGUCCUAAAGGGCCGUUGGAGACCACAACGUUGAUAGGUGGGGUGUGUAAGCGCGGCGACGUGUUGAGCUAACCCAUACUAAUUACCCGUGAGGCUUAACCAUACAACACCCAAGAAGUGUU